GGGGGUGAAAGGUUUCGACUUAGGCAAAGUAGUAUUGGUGGCAUGUCGGGGUGGCAAGGCAGGCCUCGUUAAAAAGCCUUGCAAAACACAAAUGCUGAAAAACCAGCAGAGACAUUGACAUUUAACAAGCUGAUGGCUUCUAUUGAAGUCGUUAGGCCUGUGAUGUCAAUGGUUCCACAAGCGUUACCCUUCAUACGGUAACCCGUCUGCCCUCCCUGCCUGUGGGGUGGGGCCAGGCGUCGUAAGCAGGAUAGCUUUAGCGUUCUGCCUUUGGCGCUAGAGCAAAACCGUAAAAGGCUGGCCCUUGAUUGAUUCCGUUUACCGAAGUAAUUUUGGGCAAGAUUAAAAGGUAAAACUAAACAUGUAGAGGCUAAUAUUGCGAUGCUUAGGGACCGCGGUUCGAUUCCGCGCACCUCCACCA
RNAcentral lists this transfer-messenger RNA (421 nucleotides) under Candidatus Omnitrophota bacterium. It matches the Rfam family "transfer-messenger RNA". Rfam says of the family: Bacterial tmRNA, also known as 10Sa RNA or SsrA, is named for its dual tRNA and mRNA-like properties. Its role is to liberate the mRNA from a stalled ribosome. To accomplish this part of the tmRNA is used as a reading frame that ends in a translation stop signal. The record is from RNAcentral. Lineage: Bacteria; Pseudomonadati; Candidatus Omnitrophota.